GAUUUAGCUAAUAUAAGUAAUUGUUUUGAAAACAUUUGAUAAGACUAAAUUU
RNAcentral lists this transfer RNA (52 nucleotides) under Cylisticus convexus. RNAcentral's name for it is "tRNA-Ser". The record is from RNAcentral. Lineage: Eukaryota; Metazoa; Arthropoda; Malacostraca; Isopoda; Cylisticidae.